Molecule: long non-coding RNA, 697 nt
Organism: Pterocles gutturalis (yellow-throated sandgrouse)
Lineage: Eukaryota; Metazoa; Chordata; Aves; Pterocliformes; Pteroclidae
Exons: 3
Source: RefSeq, a predicted model, not a curated record
CAGAGCAGUUGCCAAGUGAUCUUCUUCACAGCACCCAUGAACUUCAGCCUUGAACUGAAGAGGACCCAUCAAAUGCCUUAGGAGAGACAGCAUGAAAUUGGAAGAGAAGCAGGGAUCUUCAUGAAGGGCAGUCAACUGCAGGCUUGGUGUGUGGAGGAACAGGUCCUGUUCUUGCUGUUGUUACUCCCACAUAGGCGGACUCUGUAACUGAUUAUGUGUGGGUAGGGCCCUAUUGAAAUUAAGGAGAUUCUGCAGUAGUGCAGGGUUCUUUUUGUGAAAGUUCAGUUGCAAGAUCAGGACCCCACUGUGACUCCUUACUGUGAAUUCUGUCAGUGUAUCAUUGACUGUGCUGGAACCUGCCUUUUGGGAUAAUGUAAGUCCUGCUUCUACCCCAAAUGUACUUUAGACAUUAAAUAAUCAUAAAACAUUUCUAAUUAGAAAAUUAAUAUAAUUUACAUGCAUUCUUUUAAUUAUGUUUUUUUGGCAGUACCAAAUAAUAUAUUCCUCAAAACUUCUUAAUGGCACUGAGGCUUUGUGGAUAGUUGGUCACAUGAUGAGAAAAUUCAGCUGUAAGUACAUUGAAAUGAUUGAACUUUUCAAUAGUCUUUACUGUUGUUGACAAAGUAAUAAUGAUAAAAAGGUGAAGCAAGAGGUUUGACUUAUGCCAAUUGACUUCAGUUCUUUUUAAAAAAACUAU